Molecule: ribosomal RNA, 603 nt
Filed under: Phanerochaete sordida
Lineage: Eukaryota; Fungi; Basidiomycota; Agaricomycetes; Polyporales; Phanerochaetaceae
Description: eukaryotic LSU rRNA
Rfam family: 5.8S ribosomal RNA (bases 186-339)
Source: RNAcentral
UGACGGGUUGUAGCUGGCCUCUCGGGGCAUGUGCACACCUGGCUCAUCCACUCUUCAACCUCUGUGCACUUGUUGUAGGUCGGCAGAAGGGCGAGCCUUAAAACAGCUCGCUUGGAAGCCUUCCUAUGUUUUAUUACAAACGCUUCAGUUUAAGAAUGUAACCUGCGUAUAACGCAACUAUAUACAACUUUCAGCAACGGAUCUCUUGGCUCUCGCAUCGAUGAAGAACGCAGCGAAAUGCGAUAAGUAAUGUGAAUUGCAGAAUUCAGUGAAUCAUCGAAUCUUUGAACGCACCUUGCGCUCCCUGGUAUUCCGGGGAGCAUGCCUGUUUGAGUGUCAUGGUAUCCUCAUCCUUCAUAACUUUUUGUUAUCGAAGGCAUGGACUUGGAGGUCGUGCUGGUUCCUCGUUGAAUCGGCUCCUCUUAAAUGUAUUAGCGUGAGUGUAACGGAUCGCUUCGGUGUGAUAAUUAUCUGCGCCGUGGUCGUGAAGGAACAUAAGCUUGCGCUUCUAACCGUCCUUAAGUUGGACAACUUACUUUGACAUCUGACCUCAAAUCAGGUAGGACUACCCGCUGAACUUAAGCAUAUCAAUAAGCGGAGGAA